GUGAGGGCCGCCCCUCAUCGCGGGGUGCAGAGCCCUCCCCGCGCUCUGAAACCCUCCGUCCCUGCGUGUCCCCGCCAGGCUGCGGGCUGGGCCGGGCCGGGCUGGGCCGGGCCGGGCUCGGGCUGUGCUCCCGGGCCCUCAGAACCCCCGGCCCGGCCCGGCCCGGCCCGGCCGCGGCCACAGGCGAGCGCUGCGCGGCCAGCAGGGCGCUGGGAAUGCUGUGGGCGCUGCCGAUGGUGCUGGCCCUGCCGAGCAGCUGCAUUUCUAGCACGGCCCUUGCACUGGCAGUGAAGUGCUGAGGGAUGAAGACAAGCCGAAGAGUUCAGCAUUCCUAUUUCUCUUCCUCUUUGCUGACUUUGAGGCUCCGAAUACGGGUUUACAGUUCAAGGGGAGAAUUCCAUUGCAGGAAUUAUAACUUUCAGGUUUGAAGUGUUACUGAGACAGUCGUGUUUCUGGAACAGCACAGGAUGUAGCUCAACCUUGGCUGUGUCCUACAGGUGGGAGGAUCAAGGCAAUGCAUCCUGGGCAUUUUCAGGGAUU
This is a long non-coding RNA of Vidua macroura (Pin-tailed whydah), 540 nucleotides long. RefSeq lists it as uncharacterized. NCBI's taxonomy places the organism in Eukaryota, Metazoa, Chordata, Aves, Passeriformes, Viduidae. The transcript has 3 exons. The record is from RefSeq and is a predicted model, not a curated record.